RNAcentral lists this long non-coding RNA (2600 nucleotides) under Phoenix dactylifera (date palm). RNAcentral's name for it is "long non-coding RNA (PDAC_LNC012972)". The record is from RNAcentral. Lineage: Eukaryota; Viridiplantae; Streptophyta; Magnoliopsida; Arecales; Arecaceae.
UGGGUAUAUAGUGUUUACACUUCUAGGUAGCCUGAACUGGAACUUGGAUCGGCAGAUUAUAAAUCUCUGUCCAAAGUAUUCCGCUGAUAUUGUAUGACUCAAAGUUGAUUUGUAGGACGUGAAUUUAUCUAUUUAGAAUGCAUGAACAUUUAAUUAACAACGAUCUUACCUUGUAAAGAUAAAUGGAUAGAAACAAAAUUCUAUGAUUUCAAGAAUGGAUUAAAAACAACACGAGAAUGAAAUUUUAUUAGAAUUCUCUCAGCAUAUAUCCUUUUAGCAUGCCUAGCGGCAAUUCCUGCAUAUGCAUGGAUUGGAGGAUACAAAUUGCUGGGUGAUUGACUGCUGUAAUGUCAGAUGUCAGAUGAGCAAGAAACAUUUGUUGCCAUGAAAUAAGAUAUUGUAGAAGAGUUGAAAAGUUAAUGUUGACCUUUAGAAGGACGAAAUGAAAGGACAUUAGUGCAGCAAUGUUUGUAAUCAAGGGAGGAAAAGGAUUGUUUCCUAGAAUUGUUACUGGAAAGUUUUUUACAUUUUGAAAUCCUGCUACUUGAUAUUUGUUUGGCUUUCUGUAAAGAGAACCUUCCUAAGCUGACUAGUCACACACUGGUUCUUGAACUUUGCCUGGUUGGUUGCACAUUGUCCACUAUUAUAAGACAUGGUGACAAAUAGGAAUCUCUAGUCUGAAUUUGCUACGUGAAUGGAUAUAAAUUAACCUGGUCUUCUUUAUUUCAGUUAAGAAAGUCCCUUAUAGGAUCUCUGGUGUAAUUUAAUACGUGAUUGUGCUGCAAUAAGACUAACUAACCAUAAUUGGGAUUAAUCUUUUACCUGCUUAGCAACUACAAAGACAUAUUAGGCCUAUAAAAUCAAUUGGCAGUUCUAAUCCAACCAUUUUACUAUUCUCCUUGUUUGUAAGAAGUUGAGUGUUUUCUAUACUUAAGCAAUUUGAACACUCAAUAAGGAUUAUGAUGCCCUGCACUUUUGCCAACAUGAUUUGUGGAGUAGUAAAAACCAUAAUUUGUUAACUAUAUCAUUUACAGCAGCAUGCUGAAUUCUUUUUAACUUGUCAAUUCAACAACCCAAUGAACAAAAAAUAUACAUAUACCGAUUUUGAUAGUAGACCAGCUUGAUUAUGCUUCAAGAAAUUCUAAAGAAGCCAUAUAGAGGGACACCCAUAGUCAAGGAUAUGCAACCAUUCUGAAUAGCGACAAUUGCAAACCUCUCUUCUUGUUGUAGUUUAGAAAAUGCUGAUCUAUCUGACUAUAAGCUAUUUCUGACUCUGUAUUGCACUGAAUGAUAGCUUUUGAAGCUUAUGGCAGUCAUAAGCCGCCACGGCCUGAUUAAGAAUUUAUUUCCUUGCAAUUGUGCAUUAUGCACCAAUCCAUAUACCAUUUGCAAUGACAAACUAGAGUCUACUGUCAAAUACUAGAAUGGCCGGAGUCCUUUUGGUUCAGGUAUAUGUUGUUUAAGUAAAUGAGGUUGCAUUUAUAUCAUGACUUUCUUUCUGUUCAGUUAGAACUGCAUAAAUGCAAAAGAAAAUGUUCAUUCUCCAGGCGUAUAUCUACUUAAUCUCACAAAUAACAUUUCUCAUCUGAUCAUUUUUUACAUUCUGAUUUGAACUUGUAAUGCUUCUCUAAAGUUUCCCUAAGUACUGAUUAUGUGUAGUUUGUUCUCAUUAUUUUAUGAACUUAUGUGCUUGUAUAUCUGAUUAAUCAGAUACCCUGAUGUGCAACUGCUAUAUAUUUUUAUAUUUGUUUUUCUUCUGCCCGUAUAACCUGUAUUCAGUCACCUCUGUUAUACUCAGUGGCUAUGCUAUUAACAGAUCUGUUUUAUGUUGCUUUAACCUUUGAAUGUGCAUCUAUUAACCUGCAUUUGUUAUUUAUAAUUCCUACAUUUGCUUUCUUUCUUAAAUUGCAUGCAUGACUUUCAUUAUCCUAUAUUGGUAUUCUUUAAGUGUGUUCACGGAUGAAGCAUAGUUUGUUAUCUAAGAAAUUGGAUAAUGUAACUUUCUUUCGAUUUAUUAAUAAAUGUUUUUGAUAUGCAUACUUUCACUGUGAAUGCUACAGAAGCUUAGAGAUAAGAAUAGUAUUGUGUAAUGCAUGUAUACAUAGAAUAGAUAUGUGAAAUGAAUUGACUUAUUACUAGAUUGCUUCUUGCUUUAAUUUUGGUAAUAAGAAGUUUGGAUCUUCCAUGAUGUAAUUAUGUAAAGGUGUAAUUAAUUGAAUCAUUUGUAAUACAGAGUUAUAAUUAUCAUUUAUAACCUAUAGUUUAUCCAAGAUGCAUUAUUGCAUUCAGUAGUCCCCAGAUUUUUUUUAAAAAAUUCUUAAUCCCUUUGAUAAUUCAUGUUUGAAUUAUAGGAUGCAAAGAUCUUAGUGUAGCCAUGUAUUUCUGUAGUUUCUAUGUGCAUUAUAUUUUUGUGAAUUAUUUCUUGUCAAACAAAAAGUUAACUAGUAUAGUAUAAAGGUGUAAUAGUAAUGUGGAUGGAGAACUGGCAUUGUAUACUUGAAGACCAGGGAAGCAAAUUGUGUUCACCUUUUAUCACAUGGUACAAUUAAUUUCCUUCCUAGAUUGGCUUGAAGAAGAAACUUACUUUUUGCCUCUCCUUU